RNAcentral lists this ribosomal RNA (482 nucleotides) under uncultured bacterium. RNAcentral describes it as "bacterial SSU rRNA". It matches the Rfam family "Bacterial small subunit ribosomal RNA", at positions 29 to 506 of the family's 1533-position model. The record is from RNAcentral.
UUGAACGCUGGCGGCAUGCCUUACACAUGCAAGUCGAACGGCAGCACGGGGGCGACCCUGGUGGCGAGUGGCGAACGGGUGAGUAACGCAUCGGAACGUACCCGGAAGUGGGGGAUAACGUAGCGAAAGUUACGCUAAUACCGCAUGAGUCCUGAGGGAGAAAGCGGGGGAUCGCAAGACCUCGCGCGAUUGGAGUGGCCGAUGUCAGAUUAGCUAGUUGGUGGGGUAAAGGCCUACCAAGGCGACGAUCUGUAGCGGGUCUGAGAGGAUGAUCCGCCACACUGGGACUGAGACACGGCCCAGACUCCUACGGGAGGCAGCAGUGGGGAAUUUUGGACAAUGGGCGAAAGCCUGAUCCAGCCAUGCCGCGUGCGGGAAGAAGGCCUUCGGGUUGUAAACCGCUUUCAGCCGGAAAGAAAUCGCCACUUCUAAUACGAGUGGUGGAUGACGGUACCGGAAGAAGAAGCACCGGCUAACUACGU